CCCUUAGAUGUCCUGGGCCGCACGCGCGUUACACUGAUGCAUUCAACGAGCUUAUAACCUUGGCCGAGAGGCCUGGGCAAUCUUGUUAACGUGCAUCGUGAUAGGGAUAGAUUAUUGAAAUUAUUAAUCUUGAACGAGGAAUUCCUAGUAAACGCAGAUCACCAAUCUGCAUUGAUUACGUCCCUGCCCUUUGUACACACCGCCCGUCGCACCUACCGAUUGGAUGGUCCGGUGAAGCCUCGGGAUUGUGGUUCUUGCCGCUUUGUUGUGGCGUGACCGCGAGAACUUGUCUAAACCUUAUCAUCUAGAGGAAGGUGAAGUCGUAACA
Molecule: ribosomal RNA, 328 nt
Filed under: uncultured eukaryote
Lineage: Eukaryota
Description: partial 18S ribosomal RNA
Rfam family: Eukaryotic small subunit ribosomal RNA
Source: RNAcentral